UUGGAGGGCAAGUCUGGUGCCAGCAGCCGCGGUAAUUCCAGCUCCAAUAGCGUAUAUUAAAGUUGGUGCAGUUAGAAAGCUCGUAGUUGAAUUUUGGAUUCGGCCAAUUGGUCCAUCUUUUAGAUGAGUACUGGUUGUGUUGGGUCUAUCCGCCUGGUGAUACGUAAUGUCCUUAAUUGGGUGUUGCGGGUAGUCAGGACCUUUACCUUGAGAAAAUUAGAGUGUUUAAAGCAGGCUUAUGCCGGAAUACAUUAGCAUGGAAUAAUAGAAUAGGACGAAGUUGUUUUAUUUUGUUGGUUUCUAGGACAACCGUAAUGAUUAAUAGGGAUAGUUGGGGGCAUUAGUAUUCAAUUGUCAGAGGUGAAAUUCUUGGAUUUAUUGAAGACUAACUACUGCGAAAGCAUUUGCCAAGGAUGUUUUCAUAAUCAAGAACGAAAGUUAGGGGAUCGAAGACGAUCAGAUACCGUCGUAGUCUUAACCAUAAACUAUGCCGACUAGGGAUCGGGCGAUGUUGUUUCCAUGACUCGCUCGGCACCUUAUGGGAAACCAAAGUGUUUGGGUUC
RNAcentral lists this ribosomal RNA (563 nucleotides) under uncultured Glomeromycotina. Its description in RNAcentral is "SSU rRNA". It matches the Rfam family "Eukaryotic small subunit ribosomal RNA", at positions 548 to 1114 of the family's 1831-position model. The record is from RNAcentral. Lineage: Eukaryota; Fungi; Glomeromycota.